Molecule: ribosomal RNA, 428 nt
Filed under: uncultured bacterium
Lineage: Bacteria
Description: bacterial SSU rRNA
Rfam family: Bacterial small subunit ribosomal RNA
Source: RNAcentral
UAGGGAAUCUUCCGCAAUGGGCGAAAGCCUGACGGAGCAACGCCGCGUGAGUGAUGAAGGUUUUCGGAUCGUAAAGCUCUGUUGCCAGGGAAGAACGUCCGAUAGAGUAACUGCUAUCGGAGUGACGGUACCUGAGAAGAAAGCCCCGGCUAACUACGUGCCAGCAGCCGCGGUAAUACGUAGGGGGCAAGCGUUGUCCGGAAUUAUUGGGCGUAAAGCGCGCGCAGGCGGUCAUUUAAGUCUGGUGUUUAAGGCCAAGGCUCAACCUUGGUUCGCACUGGAAACUGGGUGACUUGAGUGCAGAAGAGGAGAGUGGAAUUCCACGUGUAGCGGUGAAAUGCGUAGAUAUGUGGAGGAACACCAGUGGCGAAGGCGACUCUCUGGGCUGUAACUGACGCUGAGGCGCGAAAGCGUGGGGAGCAAACAGG